Molecule: non-coding RNA, 396 nt
Organism: Neopelma chrysocephalum (saffron-crested tyrant-manakin)
Lineage: Eukaryota; Metazoa; Chordata; Aves; Passeriformes; Pipridae
Source: the annotation of a RefSeq genome assembly
AUGCAGCGCCGGCGAAGAGCGGGGCUGGUGGCGCUGGCCGCGGUUCUGCUGGUGUGUGCAGGCACAGCACUGGUGCAGCAGGACUCAUUGGCAGCGACCACCGAGGGCAGUGAAAUCACCAUCAAGUGCUCAAACGCCAACAUAGGAAUCGGGGAUUUUAUCCAUUUCUACCGGCAGCUGCCGGGUCACAGACCCGAGCUCCAGGCACCCGCUGCUAAAGUGCCCAGAGAGCUGCGGGCGCCAGUGGGGCGGCUCUCGGUGUCGGGAGAUCGUCGUUGGACCGUCCCCUGGCUCUCCGAUCCCUGUCGUAUGGAGGCGGCGCUGUAUUCCUGCACCCGGGCGGACACGGAGUCAUUGACACCGUCGUCUUUGGAGCUUUUAGGGGAUUAUCGCUGA